GAAAAAAUAUAUAAGUUAAAAAAAUAAAUAUCUGGGGUACGUGGGUCGCUCAGUCAGCUGCGCAACCGACUUAGGCUCAGGUCAUGAUCUCACCGUUGGUGAGUUCAAGCCCUGCAUCGGGCUCUGUGCUGACAGCUCAGAACCUGGAGCCUGCUUCGGAAU
Molecule: long non-coding RNA, 162 nt
Organism: Leopardus geoffroyi (Geoffroy's cat)
Lineage: Eukaryota; Metazoa; Chordata; Mammalia; Carnivora; Felidae
Exons: 4
Source: RefSeq, a predicted model, not a curated record